GCCACGGUGGCCUAGUGGUUAGAGCUUCCGCCUCGGAUGCUGGAGUUCACGGGUUUGAACCCCGACCGAGUCA
Molecule: non-coding RNA, 73 nt
Organism: Potamilus streckersoni
Lineage: Eukaryota; Metazoa; Mollusca; Bivalvia; Unionida; Unionidae
Source: the annotation of a GenBank genome assembly